RNAcentral lists this ribosomal RNA (249 nucleotides) under uncultured bacterium. RNAcentral describes it as "partial 16S ribosomal RNA". It matches the Rfam family "Archaeal small subunit ribosomal RNA", at positions 473 to 720 of the family's 1478-position model. The record is from RNAcentral.
ACACCGGCAGCUCAAGUGGUAGCCGCUUUUAUUGGGCCUAAAGCGUCCGUAGCCGGUCUGAUAAGUCUCUGGUGAAAUCCCACAGCUUAACUGUGGGAAUUGCUGGAGAUACUAUCAUGACUCGAGGUCGGGAGAGGCUGGAGGUACUCCCAGGGUAGGGGUGAAAUCCUGUAAUCCUGGGAGGACCACCUGUGGCGAAGGCGUCCAGCUGGAACGAACCUGACGGUGAGGGACGAAAGCCAGGGGCGC